RNAcentral lists this ribosomal RNA (369 nucleotides) under uncultured phototrophic eukaryote. RNAcentral's name for it is "SSU rRNA". It matches the Rfam family "Bacterial small subunit ribosomal RNA", at positions 524 to 896 of the family's 1533-position model. The record is from RNAcentral.
UACGGGGGAUGCAAGCGUUAUCCGGAAUCAUUGGGCGUAAAGCGCCUGUAGGUUGUUUAAUAAGUCUGUUGUUAAAGACUAGGGCUCAACCCUAGAAAAGCAAUGGAAACUACUAGACUAGAGUAUGGCAGGGGUAGAGGGAAUUUCUAGUGUAGCGGUGAAAUGCGUAGAUAUUAGAAAGAACACCGGUGGCGAAAGCGCUCUACUGGACCAUUACUGACACUCAGAGGCGAAAGCUAGGGUAGCAAAAGGGAUUAGAUACCCCUGCAGUCCUAGCCGUAAACGAUGGAUACUAGAUGUUGUGCGUAAAGUACAGUAUCCUAGCUAACGCGUUAAGUAUCCCGCCUGGGGAGUACGCUCGCAAGGGUG